This is a non-coding RNA of Pelobates cultripes (western spadefoot toad), 221 nucleotides long. The record is from the annotation of a GenBank genome assembly. NCBI's taxonomy places the organism in Eukaryota, Metazoa, Chordata, Amphibia, Anura, Pelobatidae.
UGACAGAGUGAGAGAGGGGGUGAAUAGUGACCGAGUGAGGGAGGAAGAGGGUGACUAGUGACAGAGUGAGGAAGGGGGUGACACAGUGAUAGUCACCCCAUUCCUCCCUCUGUCACUAAUCACCACCUCCCUCACUCGUCACCCCUUCCCUCCCUCACUCUGUCACUAGUCACACCCUCCCUCUCUCUGUCACUAGUCACCCCCUCCCUCUCUCUGUCACU